UUUUUGUAAGGAUACUCAAGUUACUUUGGCACUUUCAGUUCAGAAAUCCCUGUUUUGAACAACAGUAUGAAAGCACUAACUCAGUACUACUUAACAGCCUUACUAAAUACAGCCUGUUCCUGUUGCCCAGAAUGCUAUGUACACCUCUGGCUUUGUAGACUUCAUGUGACCAUAGCAGAUGGACUGUGUGCCCUCAGUGUUCUGUCAUGUUAAGCAGUUUUCUUGAUGAUGGACUUGCCAUGCUUUCCAAGACAGCUUCCAGAGUUCUCUUCCCACUGUGAAUGGAGGAGCCAAGAUGACUGCCUGCCUUAAGUACCCAUUCUUGGAUAAGGUGGAUCUCCCAUUAGAUGCUGGUCUAGGGGUUCUGAAUGUCUUCUGCCUUGGAUACUGGGUACCAAACCUAGAAAGUCUCAAAACAGGAUUGUUCAGUUAUUCUGCAGAACGUGAGAAAUGUUCAGCAGCAUCUGGGCUGCUGUGUACUGAGCAAAUAUUCUAGUUCUUAUCCUAGUCUGGACAAGAGCUAUUCCCCACCAAAAGUAAGUUAAAAGAUAAUAGUGACAGUAAUUGGAUCAUGUGAGUCACUUGUGCUUUUUCAAAUGGUCUGUAGCUAAAAAUAUUGGUGCUAUGUUGGUACAAUUUUAGUCUGAGAAAAGUAAUGCCUGAAGUGAGGGGCAAAUUAUUCUGCUGAUCAGGUAGCUUUCUUAUAUUUGGGCAUUGACCAAAUAAAAAAGGUUAGUAGAUUUGCUUAGGCUCUGUAAAAUUGUAUAGUGCUGAUAACUGCAAGUUGUAUAUGCAAAAUAUUUGGUGUGCCAGGCUCAGGUCUGGAAAACUACUCCAGUGUUUUAACAUGAGUUGAUUGAACAGACAAAUUACUUGGAAAACUGAACUUUCAAGUGUCAAAGCUUUAACUACAUUCCACAGAUAAAGGAGCAGGUUGCUUUGCAUCAAGUUUGACUUUGUUUUCCAUUCUAGAUAAUGUUUACCCUGUCAAUGAAGAAAGUUCUGACUUCUGUCUUACCAUAAACUUUAGAAUUGAGCCAAGUUAUGAAUGCUUCUCACUCCUGUUUUACCAGUAAAACCUUGUAAGAACACAGUCAAUACUUAGUUCUCCAGUCUUCAUUAAAGUAACUGUUUAUGCCUUUCAGUUUCUGAAAGCACUCGGCCAAGUGAAAUGAGACUUUCACAGUGUAAUGCUGCAAUUUAACUGUAGUGUUGUAAGGACUAGUGUUUACAAUGUGAAAUGUUGCAAUGAAAACUGCAUAUGAAUGUCCCUGUGAAGUACAGUAGCAUGCCUGUUCAGUCACUGCUGUCACAUCUCUGCAGCUAUGAACUAUGGUGGUCUUUACUGGAAGCUGAGAUAGUCAAGGUGAUUCCUAAAUUUAGAGCCAAACUUAACUGUGAGGGACUGACCUGAAUUUCUGGUAACAAAUGCUGUCAAGGUACCCAAUGCACAUUGGUCAAAUUUUUAACAUCUAGGAAGUAUACCACCCUUCUAAUUUUUAUGGUAUAAAUGCAGUACAACUGAACUAUAAAGGCCUCUGGUUUUUUUUUUUACUGAUAAGGACCAAAAGCUAGCAAUCUGAGGACUGAUGUCCAAUAACCUGCAUGUGCCAGUUUAUUUUCUAGCUCAGUUAGUGCACUCAGCAGCAAAGCCAUAUGUAGAGCCUGACUCAACACCUUGACAAUAGCACCUAUAAAAUUAGGGGUAGAAGUGAAUGGGAAGCUGCCUCAGCUAUUGUUAGCACUGAAUUCACUUUAAAAAUUCUAGGGAAAUACCAUCUAAGCUUGAAGCAAUAUGUGUUUUUUAAAGUUUUUAAUAGUAUAUGUUUUUAAUGCUUCUGUAUUGUCUAUAUUUAAUAGUGGAGUGUCAACUUGUAUAUGUGAAUAAAAUGAGUGACACAGUA
Long non-coding RNA from Oxyura jamaicensis (ruddy duck), 1904 nucleotides. RefSeq lists it as uncharacterized. The record is from RefSeq and is a predicted model, not a curated record. The transcript is spliced from 3 exons. Lineage: Eukaryota; Metazoa; Chordata; Aves; Anseriformes; Anatidae.